UAAUGAUCACCUGCAAGAGUUUACACCAAUCAUGCGUCUUAUUUAUAGAAUGCACAUAAUUAUAUUCAGAGACCUCGGAUGACUUCAGCACAUUCUUCUGAUAAUUCAUACAUGUAAUUCGUAUGUGCAAAAAUACUGUAGCUUCCGUUUAUACCGUAAGAGACACGGAUGAAAAUACUCUAUACCUUUCUUAAAGUGUAUGUACAAUUUUACUGCAUGUUUUAAAAUAUUUCCUAUAAUAAGCUUCUGUUAUCAAGCUAAUACUGACUAAAAGCAAAAAAAAUGUAAACGAAUGCCUAAUUAAAAGUAUAAUUCAGUUGAAAUUCUUCUUGGUAACAUAGAUAUUAUUAUAUUAAAUGUUGUUUACGUUGCCCUUGUAAAUAAACAGAUAACUUUUUUGAAUUUUUUAUGUCGAUUUUAUUUUUCCGCGGCGUUAAAUCGUUUAAGAAGACUCAUGAAAUCAAAUAUGAGUAUAAGCAUGAUUACUUUACCUUGAAUUGUUUUAAUUUUGCACUAGAAAGUGGUCUGCCUGACACCUGGGCAAUAUCAGAAAAAGGUGGUGACUUUGAUCAAGUGCAAUUGGACGCCAGUGGAUUAGAAUUUAAUGAAGUCAAAGACGCGUUAAUUAAAGCAGGUUGCAAACCGAAUGGGAUAAUCAAUAUAACACGAUUAGAGAACAGGUCCAUGUGGUUGCAGUACCAGAGCAAGAAGAAUCAGCUGGAGAAACAAAAUCCGAACAUACUAAUUGAAAGAAGACUUUGGCACGGGACAAACAUCAAACAGUCCCAAAAAUUAUAAGGAACGGCUACGAUCGUAGUUUUGCUGGAAAUGCAAACACACAUGGACAAGGUGUCUACUUUGCGGUACAUUCUUCGUAUUCUGACAGAGAUCAAUAUGCUACCAGAGACGCAAACGGAAACAAAAGAAUGUUUCGGAACAGAGUUCUUACCGGAGAGUAUUGUCAAGGCAACCAA
Mercenaria mercenaria is the source of this 974-nucleotide long non-coding RNA. RefSeq lists it as uncharacterized. The transcript has 3 exons. NCBI's taxonomy places the organism in Eukaryota, Metazoa, Mollusca, Bivalvia, Venerida, Veneridae. The record is from RefSeq and is a predicted model, not a curated record.